RNAcentral lists this unclassified non-coding RNA (291 nucleotides) under uncultured fungus. RNAcentral's name for it is "sequence contains ITS2". Lineage: Eukaryota; Fungi. The record is from RNAcentral.
AACGCACAUUGCACUCCUUGGUAUUCCGAGGAGUAUGCCUGUUUCAGUAUCAUGAGCACUCUCACAUCUAACCUUUGGGUUAUGAUAUGGAAUUGGGAUGCGCCGAUUUUUACUAGUCGGCACUCCUAAAAUGUAGCUCUUGGCUGUUUCCUACUACAGCAGUUUGGCCUAAUAGUUUUGACUUUUGUCAAAUCUUUGGCUACAUUUGCUUCUGGAAAUCAGUCUUGAUAAUACAGAAAACUCAUUUUAAACUUUGAUCUGAAAUCAGGUAGGGCUACCCGCUGAACUUAA